GUGGGGAAUAUUCCGCAAUGGACGAAAGUCUGACGGAGCAACGCCGCGUGAGUGAAGAAGGUUUUCGGAUCGUAAAGCUCUUUCGUUAGGGACGAACGUGCUCUUUGUGAAUAAUGAGGAGUAAUGACGGUACCUAAAUAAGAAGCCACGGCUAACUACGUGCCAGCAGCCGCGGUAAUACGUAGGUGGCAAGCGUUGUCCGGAAUUAUUGGGCGUAAAGCGCGCGCAGGCGGGAUAUCAAGUCUGUCUUAAAAGUGCGAGGCUCAACCUCGUGAGGGGACAGAAACUGGUAUUCUUGAGUGUCGGAGAGGAAAGUGGAAUUCCAAGUGUAGCGGUGAAAUGCGUAGAGAUUUGGAAGAACACCAGUGGCGAAGGCGACUUUCUGGACGAUGUCUGACGCUGAGGCGCGAAAGCUAGGGGAGCGAACGGGAUUAGAAACCCUGGUAGUCC
This 450-nucleotide ribosomal RNA is filed under the name uncultured bacterium. Its description in RNAcentral is "partial 16S ribosomal RNA". It matches the Rfam family "Bacterial small subunit ribosomal RNA", at positions 354 to 796 of the family's 1533-position model. The record is from RNAcentral.